UAAUACCGGAUAGAUCAAAGAUACUGGAAUGUUAUCUGGUCGAAAACUCCGGUGCCCAAGGAUUGGUGUGCGGCCUAUCAGGUAGUAGUAGGUGUAACGUACCUACUAGCCUACGACGGGUAAGGGUUGUGAGAACAAGAUCCCUGAGAUGGAUUCUGAGACAUGAAUCCAGGCCCUACAGGGUGCAGCAGGCGCGAAAACUUUGACACUGCUGGAAACCGCGAUAUGGGGACCUCGAGUGCCAGCACCUAGUGCUUGCUGUCCCGCUGUCUAAUCAAGAGUGUUAGCAAGGGCCGGGCAAGACCGGUGCCUGCCAGCCGCGGUACACCGACGGCCUGAGUGGUAGCCGUUAUUAUUGGGUUUAAAGGGUCCGUAGCCGGCUUAUUAAGGCUCUUGGGAAAUCUGGCGACUCAAUCGUCAGGCGUCC
RNAcentral lists this ribosomal RNA (427 nucleotides) under uncultured ANME-2 cluster archaeon. RNAcentral describes it as "bacterial SSU rRNA". It matches the Rfam family "Archaeal small subunit ribosomal RNA", at positions 147 to 575 of the family's 1478-position model. Lineage: Archaea; Methanobacteriati; Methanobacteriota; Methanomicrobia; Methanosarcinales. The record is from RNAcentral.